GAUAACCCGUAUCGACUUUAGAUGGAUCAGUAGAUUGAGCAGCAUACAGAAAACCAAAUGCACCAACAAUAGCACCAGCUUUCCCAGCUGCAGCUGAUAUCCCGUGGCACGUUGAUCUCAACCUAGCUGGAAAAAUCUCCGCGGGCACAACAAACGUUGUAGCAUUUGGACCAAAAUUCGCGAAGAAAAAGGUUAGUGAAUACAUGAUAACA
Molecule: unclassified non-coding RNA, 212 nt
Filed under: Hevea brasiliensis (rubber tree)
Lineage: Eukaryota; Viridiplantae; Streptophyta; Magnoliopsida; Malpighiales; Euphorbiaceae
Source: RNAcentral